RNAcentral lists this ribosomal RNA (253 nucleotides) under uncultured bacterium. RNAcentral's name for it is "partial 16S ribosomal RNA". It matches the Rfam family "Bacterial small subunit ribosomal RNA", at positions 524 to 776 of the family's 1533-position model. The record is from RNAcentral.
UACGGGGGGAGCAAGCGUUGUUCGGAUUUACUGGGCGUAAAGGGCGCGUAGGCGGCGUGACAAGUCACUUGUGAAAUCUCCGGGCUUAACUCGGAACGGUCAAGUGAUACUGUCGUGCUAGAGUACAGAAGGGGCAACUGGAAUUCUCGGUGUAGCGGUGAAAUGCGCAGAUAUCAGGAGGAACACCGGUGGCGAAGGCGGUUCUCUGGGCAUUACCUGACGCUGAGGAGCGAAAGUGUGGGGAGCGAACAGG